This 235-nucleotide ribosomal RNA is filed under the name uncultured Candidatus Saccharibacteria bacterium. RNAcentral's name for it is "partial 16S ribosomal RNA". It matches the Rfam family "Bacterial small subunit ribosomal RNA", at positions 584 to 818 of the family's 1533-position model. The record is from RNAcentral. Lineage: Bacteria; Candidatus Saccharimonadota.
UAAGCGAAGAGUGAAAUUGUGUGGCUCAACCAUACACCCAUUAUUCGAACUGCUCAGCUUGAGAGUGAGAGAGGUUACUGGAACUCCCUGUGUAGGAGUGAAAUCCGUAGAUAUAGGGAGGAACACCAAUGGCGUAGGCAGGUAACUGGCUCAUCUCUGACACUAAGGCACGAAAGCGUGGGGAGCAAACGGGAUUAGAUACCCCGGUAGUCCACGCCGUAAACGAUGGAUACUA